This is a long non-coding RNA of Oncorhynchus tshawytscha (Chinook salmon), 1879 nucleotides long. RefSeq lists it as uncharacterized. The transcript is spliced from 3 exons. NCBI's taxonomy places the organism in Eukaryota, Metazoa, Chordata, Actinopteri, Salmoniformes, Salmonidae. The record is from RefSeq and is a predicted model, not a curated record.
ACAUUACAGAAUUACACAGAGUAAUGACUAUCAUCAAUAGGCUAAAACAACAUGGUAACAUGUUUUCAAAUUAUGAACCGAUUCACUGUCCUUUUAACCAAAUCAAGCAAAAAAUUCACACUCAACCUGAAUUAACAUUUCUUUGCACUUUGCUAGUUUAAAAAAAAGAGAAGAAAACAGCCAGAUUCUGAAAGGUUUUUGGGUUUCCGGACUUCACUGCCGAGAGAAUGCAAAGAAUUACUGUCCAAAAAUGAAAGAAGAAGAAGGAUGUUUUUGACAGUGCCUAAUGCUUCAGAAGACUGGAAAUAGUAUACUAUUUCUUUACAUAACAAAAUAUUGUUAAAUAGGAAUAAAUAAUUUAAAUAAUUUACGCUUUUUUAGAUUGAAAUUGGUAGCGCUACUGUAACGUUACUUAUUUACUUACAUCAGCCUGCCUAGUCAGAAAGCUAGCCAGACAGUUUUAUUUAGCUAAUGUUCGCUAGCUAACUGUUAUUGUAGCUUUCUGUUUGUGUGUAGUUUGCACUUCAAUGAUAUCCCUAGAGGAGAUUUGAUUUAAUCUUUCCAACCAGGCGAAGUACUAUGAAGGCAGCACUGAUCUCGACAAGAGGUGCAACAUUUGUAGGGGGCAGAAAUGCACUAUUCGGGGUAACGCUAAGCAGUUAACUUCUAUUACAUAACUGCAAGGAUUUAGCUAUGAACAACCAUUUUACAUCUAGCUAGGUCAUCUACAAGUUGCUAGCUAUACAUUUAGUUAUAGGCCAUGCUGACUGAGAUGCAUGUUGGCCAUUUCGGAGUGAAUGAUUGCCAAAAUCAACCCACACUUCUAGUGGUGUGGGAUUGUCAAGGAUGUGGCCAGCUGAGCAAGUGAAAUAACGUUUUGUUUAUCAAUCACAUUCUAUUAUAUCUGAAAUUAUGAUGAUUUUAAUUAAUGUCAUAUGAGAGAGAAUACAUUUUAAAAUUUGUCACCUUGAGCUUAAAAGUCAGUACCUGUCCAGCCUGACAGAAGUUUAAGAGGGUGAAGACUGGCAGGAGUUUUGCCCUGAUAAGUUGUUUUGUAAUGGUUGCUUUAUUUGACCACAGCAGAGUUCAAUAUUAUAGAAUGUGUGUCAUUAUCCUUACAAAUAUGAAAAUCAGCAUACUGACUGACACAGAUACGGGUAAGAAUGAAGUAAUCUUCUCUAUAACACUUUAAAUGUUAGGGGUGGACCUCAUCGGACCCUUCAUGAAAUCCAGGAAUGGCAACAGCUGGUGUCUGACGAGGACCGAUUACUUUAUGAAGUGAGUGGAGGCAAUACUCAUUAAGGACAAGACUGGCGAGGCCACCUUCAAGACGAUGGACAUCUUCAACACCCACGAUUCUCCUGAGGUCAUCUUGAGUGACUGAGGUCAUGAACUCUGGAACCAGGUUUGGAUGAACAGACCAACCAGACCCUCAAGACUGCCAUGGGCAAGUUCCUUGACGUUUACCAGGAAUGGUGAGAGGACAACCGGAAGGUAAUUCUCUUUGCACACAACAGCAGCAUCCAGGCCUCCAGAGUACUCACCCUAUCGACUGCUGUAUGGAUGGGAGCUGCAGCUGUUUACUGAGGUUGUCAUGACUUCCACCGAGGUCGGUCCCUCUCCUUGUUCGGGCAGAGUUCGGCAGUCGACGUCACCGGUCUUCUAGCCAUCGCCGAUCCACCUUUCAUUUUCCAUUUGUUUUGUCUUGUUUUCCCGCACACCUGGUUUGCAUUCCCUAAAUACUCGUCUGGCAUAUAACCCUCUGUUUCCCCCCAUGUCUGUGUGUGGAAUUGUUAUAUGUAAAUGUAUGUGUAUGUCACGCCCUGGCCAUAGAGAGGCUUUUAAUUCUCUAUUUUGGUUAGGCCAGGGUGUGACUAGG